AGCAGCCGCGGUAAUUCCAGCUCCAAUAGCGUAUAUUAAAGUUGUUGCAGUUAAAAAGCUCGUAGUUGAAUUUCGGGAUCAGUUCGCUGGUCGUGCCUUCGGUAUGUACUGGUGUUACUGGUUCCUACCUUCUGACGAACCGUCAUGUCAUUAAUUUGGUGUGGCGGGGAAUCAGGACUGUUACUUUGAAAAAAUUAGAGUGUUUAAAGCAGGCUCGCGCUUGAAUACAUUAGCAUGGAAUAAUGAAAUAGGACGUUCGAUCCUAUUUUGUUGGUUUCUAGGAUUGACGUAAUGAUUAAUAGGGAUAGUUGGGGGCAUUAGUAUUCAAUUGUCAGAGGUGAAAUUCUUGGAUUUAUUGAAGACUAACUACUGCGAAAGCAUUUGCCAAGGAUGUUUUCAUUAAUCAAGAACGAAAGUUAGGGGAUCGAAGACGAUCAGAUACCGUCGUAGUCUUAACCAUAAACUAUGCCGACUAGGGAUCGGAUGAUGUUAAUUUUUUAAUGACUCAUUCGGCGCCUUA
This 520-nucleotide small RNA is filed under the name uncultured Glomus. RNAcentral describes it as "SSU rRNA". It matches the Rfam family "Eukaryotic small subunit ribosomal RNA", at positions 569 to 1090 of the family's 1831-position model. Lineage: Eukaryota; Fungi; Glomeromycota; Glomeromycetes; Glomerales; Glomeraceae. The record is from RNAcentral.